RNAcentral lists this ribosomal RNA (253 nucleotides) under uncultured bacterium. RNAcentral's name for it is "partial 16S ribosomal RNA". It matches the Rfam family "Bacterial small subunit ribosomal RNA", at positions 524 to 776 of the family's 1533-position model. The record is from RNAcentral.
GACGAACCGUCCUAACGUUGUUCGGAAUCACUGGGCUUAAAGGGCGCGUAGGCGGGCUGUCAAGUCUGGGGUGAAAUGCUGCGGCUCAACCGUAGAACUGCCUUAGAUACUGACGGCCUCGAGGAAGGUAGGGGCAUGCGGAACUGUAGGUGGAGCGGUGAAAUGCGUUGAUAUCUACAGGAACUCCGGUGGCGAAAGCGGCGUGCUGGACCUUUUCUGACGCUGAGGCGCGAAAGCUAGGGAAGCAAACGGG